GUGCCAGCCGCCGCGGUAAGACGAACCGAGCGAACGUUGUUCGGAAUCACUGGGCUUAAAGGGCGCGUAGGCGGGUUCGCAAGUCUGUGGUGAAAUCCUCCGGCUCAACCGGAGAACUGCCUUGGAUACUGCGGGUCUCGAGGGUGAUAGGGGUAUGCGGAACUAUCGGUGGAGCGGUGAAAUGCGUUGAUAUCGAUAGGAACUCCGGUGGCGAAGGCGGCAUACUGGAUCACUUCUGACGCUGAGGCGCGAAAGCCAGGGGAGCAAACGGGAUUAGAAACCCUUGUAGUCC
RNAcentral lists this ribosomal RNA (292 nucleotides) under uncultured bacterium. RNAcentral describes it as "partial 16S ribosomal RNA". It matches the Rfam family "Bacterial small subunit ribosomal RNA", at positions 505 to 796 of the family's 1533-position model. The record is from RNAcentral.